Molecule: long non-coding RNA, 319 nt
Filed under: Homo sapiens (human)
Lineage: Eukaryota; Metazoa; Chordata; Mammalia; Primates; Hominidae
Description: HSALNT0342063
Source: RNAcentral
GCCAUCUUAUGAGCAGGGAGAGGCCCACAUCCCAAGGAGCUGAUGUUUCUGGCCAACAGCCAGUGAGGACCUGAGGCCUGCCAGGUCACAUGAGGGAGCCUGGAAGUGGGUCUUCUCAGUCCUGCCAACAGCUGUGAGUGAGCAUGGACGCAGAUCCUCUCCCAGUGGAGCAUUUGGAUGACCACGGCUCUGGCUAACACCUCACUUACAGCCUUGGGAGAGAUUCUGAGUCAGAGGCAUCCAGCUAAAUUGACCCACAGACACGCAAUAAUCAUCAAUGUUUCUGAGUGACAAAUGACUACAAAUGGCAAUCCUGCCA